Molecule: non-coding RNA, 389 nt
Organism: Pseudonaja textilis
Lineage: Eukaryota; Metazoa; Chordata; Lepidosauria; Squamata; Elapidae
Source: RefSeq, a predicted model, not a curated record
CAAACCAAGUAACUUCGUACCCAUCUAGCUAUGCUGAUGGACAGAUGCAGUGCAUCCCAUCUAGAGAUUCUUGGAUUUACAGAAAAUUACGCUGUGGCUCUUUGGCUGUUUUUGAGUACAGCAGCAAGGAAAUAAUCUGGACACAAACUUGAACUGCUGAGCAGAUUAAAGGCAAACAAAGGGACAGUGAUGAAAACAGCAAAAAAAAAUGCUGUGGGUCUGAAUGUUACCAGAAUUUAGCCAAUGUAGCAACCCCGAGUGGAAAAGAAGGAAAGCUGAAGCUUUGGAAAAUUUCCUGAAGGACACUUAAUUAUAAUUCCUACUUUGAUUUCUCUGUAAAGUUUCGGAAUGCUUCUGGAUGACUACAGUGACAAUUCCCUGAUCCGCUG